This is a long non-coding RNA of Rosa chinensis, 1383 nucleotides long. RefSeq lists it as uncharacterized. The record is from RefSeq and is a predicted model, not a curated record. The transcript is spliced from 3 exons. NCBI's taxonomy places the organism in Eukaryota, Viridiplantae, Streptophyta, Magnoliopsida, Rosales, Rosaceae.
AGGGGAAGAAGAGGGAUUGAAAUCGGCAGUGUUGGAAAGUUUGAAGCUUUGAUCGGCUAAUUUCAUUGCGAUUCUCAGGGCCCAUUGCAGCUGUAUCUAAAUAUUGUCUGGGUUUGAUCUGUGGAUGGAAGUUGAGGGUUUCGGGGUUGUGUUGUUUUUUGGUCAAAUUAAGUUUUGGAUAUGGUUUGUUUCAUGUUUGAUUGUGUAGUUUUGAUAAAGAUAAGUGAUAAAUUUAUUGUGUGUAUUAGCAGCUAUAGUAAAAAAAUUGAAUAGGUUUUUGUCAUCAGAACGAACGAACUUGGGAAUUUUAUUUUAUUUAUUAUUAUUUUUUUAAUUCAUGUAGAAACGGGUUGUUUAAAUAGAGGUAUAAGAUUGGAAUGAUGCGGACAUCAUUCAUAUAGUUAUGGAAAGGACCGAUGAAAUAAUUAAAGCAUGUUAAACAUUAGAAAUCAACUAUAUAAUCUGUAAGCUGAGAGGUUAGAUGUGGUCUAUAUAUAAGCCAUAGUUCUGUGUUCUUCUCUAUGUCCAUUAAUUUUAUAUAUGAGAGCUUUAGGUGAUAUAGUUGAUGUUUCUCUAUAGAUAGGUGCUGCUCAAUUUUUGCAAAUUUCACGUUUUAAUCUCUGUACGUUUCUUUUAUUUUGCUUUUUAAAUAAUUGUGUGCGGAUUUUUGGUAUGGCAGAAAAGGAGAUGGACUAUAGGGUUGAGUUGUUCAACAAAAAGGAAACCCCUCAAGAUUCUUAUAAUUUGGACAAUCAUAUGCAUCAGUUCAAGGGAAGUAGUGCAAACUUCACUGGCUUUUAUUUGAAUGUUAAUAAUCUAGGUGGAGAGAUUCCUCUUGAGAUCGGGAAGAUGGGCAGAUUGGAAGGUUUACUCUAUUUCUUUCAGCAAGUUUUUUUUUUUUUUUUUUUGAUGAAUUUGAUUUUUGUGCGCAUUUGACUAGUUUGUUGUUGAUUGUGUUAAAUGACUUUAUGAGUAUUUUUGUGUAGUUUGUAGGUAGAAAAAGAGAGACUAUUGGUAAGUACUUUUCUGAGUCAUUUUGAUCAUUGUUGGUUUCUGACAAAUCUUUUCUUGCUAAGAACCCUAAUUUAACUGUAGGUGGGUAUAUUUGAUGCCAUAAACAGUACAAAGAAAAAUUUGGUUUAGGUACGGUGUUUAUGAUGGUUUUUGGGUGGUAUGUUCUGUUUUGAAUGCAAACUUUGAAAUCAGCAUAGUUUUGUACCAUAAGAUUGCCACCUUGCUGACUUGAUUAUGUGCCAAAGUGGAGAGGACAACAAUGCUAAAUUGAAAAUAAAGGUUGCAGAAGAAAUGCAGGCAGAGAAGAAAGGGAAAAUUAUUGCUGCUAUUCUUCUUUCAGAGGCUUUAGGCAUUAUCCCAGCUUCUGUA